This 31-nucleotide ribosomal RNA is filed under the name Orphanodendron bernalii. Its description in RNAcentral is "partial large subunit ribosomal RNA". The record is from RNAcentral. Lineage: Eukaryota; Viridiplantae; Streptophyta; Magnoliopsida; Fabales; Fabaceae. RNAcentral also lists the same sequence under 1 other name.
CGGGACCUCAGGUCAGGCGGGGCUACCCGCU